Molecule: ribosomal RNA, 510 nt
Filed under: uncultured bacterium
Lineage: Bacteria
Description: bacterial SSU rRNA
Rfam family: Bacterial small subunit ribosomal RNA
Source: RNAcentral
GACGAACGCUGGCGGCGUGCCUAACACAUGCAAGUCGAGCGGGGUUGAAGCGAGAGGUAACUCGAGCUUCUACCUAGCGGCGGACGGGUGAGUAACGCGUGGGCAACCUGCCUCAAGGUUUGGGAUAACAGCCCGAAAGGGCUGCUAAUACCGGAUAUGCCUAUGGCCUCGCAUGGGGCUAUGAGCAAAGGGGAAACCCGCCUUGAGAUGGGCCCGCGUCCCAUCAGCUAGUUGGUGAGGUAACAGCUCACCAAGGCGACGACGGGUAGCCGGCCUGAGAGGGUGACCGGCCACACUGGGACUGAGACACGGCCCAGACUCCUACGGGGGGCAGCAGUGGGGGAUCUUGCACAAUGGGCGAAAGCCUGAUGCAGCGACGCCGCGUGAGCGAAGAAGGCCUUCGGGUUGUAAGACUCUGUCUGGAGGGACGGAACAAAAUAGACGGUACCGUCCGGACGGAAGCCACGGCUAACUACGUCGCCACGCAGCCGCGGUAAUAUCACGUGUACG